Molecule: long non-coding RNA, 1213 nt
Organism: Bombus pyrosoma
Lineage: Eukaryota; Metazoa; Arthropoda; Insecta; Hymenoptera; Apidae
Exons: 4
Source: RefSeq, a predicted model, not a curated record
UCUCUGGUAUAAUUGGUUAACUGGUUUAUUUUCUUCUUCUAAUAUACAUCACUAAGUUGGUGACCAAUGACCAAUGCGCUCCCAAAACAACACGUGACCAUGUGAUAGUAAGAUAAUAUACCCGGAAACCGAAAAGCGGCAUUUAACAAAAACAGUUUCACGAAAAUGGCAACCCUUUCUAUUUAGAUUAUAAAUAUUACUAUAUUGAUGUAUUAAUCUGCCAAAAUUUGAAUCUGUAUAAAUUUUGAAAUAAAUUAUCUGAAUUUGUUUAAAUUUUCUUAUCAUAAACAAUUACUCAAUAACAAUCGAACGAAUUUUUUCAUUAAUCGAAACCUAUAAUAUAUUUCGAAAAUGGAUGCAAAUUACAUUAAUUUAGUUAAUUAGUUACUUAAAUUGCUGUAAUACGUAAUUAGUCAUAAGGUGCACUAUGUUAAUCACUAUGAAAAAUUAAACUUUUUGUUUAUAAAUACUACCUACUUGUUAAGAAUGAGUUUCACAAAUGCUAGAAUAUCAAUCGCGCUAUAAUAGCUAUAUUUAUUAUCGAUAUACAGGAUGCGGUCGAAUAACAUGUACAAGCGGGCGUGAGGGGAUUCCUUAUGAAAAAACAAGAAGAAGAUGUAGAAUAAAAUCCUUUUUUGUCCGAGGCUUUGUUUUAGAGAAAAUCGUAUUUAAAAAUUUAUCAAGUGCACUUGAUCAUCAUUAAUCAUCGACUAGGAAUUUCAUCUGUUGUCUUCGUCAAUGGUUCUUCAAAACCAGGAGGCGGAACAUAAAAUGGCAAUUUACCACGUUGCCAGUCGUUCAAAACCAUUCGUGAGACGAUAGUGAUAUCUGGUUCGCCUUUCUUUAAUAAUUUACCACUUCUACGUGCUAACUUCUCCAGAAAAUCAAUGAUUUUGAACAAGUUCUACUCUUACUACGCCUUUCAAUACUUUUUCUGUGUCAGUUUCUGCUGAUGGAUAAACUACGCCUGGACAAUCUAUCAAGUAAAUACGUCGCAUCAAAGUAAUAUAUUGCCAUACUUUUGUCUCUCCUGCUAUUGGUGCAACAUUACAUACUUUCUUUGAUCUUAAGUUUUGCAAACUGGCGUAACAAAUUAAUCAAAGAACCUUUACCAAAUGGAUGCGUCAUAGAAGCAUGAAAGGCCACUGUUGGAUAUUCUGCACUUAAUAUUGCAACCCAUCUUUGUGUUACCCAAGUUGGAACAAGAUCUACU